RNAcentral lists this transfer RNA (66 nucleotides) under Myotis brandtii (Brandt's bat). It matches the Rfam family "tRNA". From Rfam's summary of the family: Transfer RNA (tRNA) molecules are approximately 80 nucleotides in length. Their secondary structure includes four short double-helical elements and three loops (D, anti-codon, and T loops). The record is from Rfam by way of RNAcentral. Lineage: Eukaryota; Metazoa; Chordata; Mammalia; Chiroptera; Vespertilionidae.
GAUGGCAUGGCUCAGUGGUUGAGCAUCAACCUGUGAACCUGGAGAUCAUGGUUCCAUUUCCCAUCA